Molecule: non-coding RNA, 99 nt
Filed under: Ignavibacteria bacterium
Lineage: Bacteria; Pseudomonadati; Ignavibacteriota; Ignavibacteria
Description: TPP sequence
Rfam family: TPP riboswitch aptamer (THI element)
About the family: Vitamin B(1) in its active form thiamin pyrophosphate (TPP) is an essential coenzyme that is synthesised by coupling of pyrimidine and thiazole moieties in bacteria. The previously detected thiamin-regulatory element, thi box was extended, resulting in a new, highly conserved RNA secondary structure, the THI element, which is widely distributed in eubacteria and also occurs in some archaea.
Source: RNAcentral
AAACAACCGUGGGGGCGCUCCAUUUAUUAUGGUGCUGAGAGAGACCCUUCGUACCUGAUCCGGAUAAUACCGGCGUAGGGAAACGGAAAAAUAUAUCCU